Molecule: non-coding RNA, 136 nt
Organism: Triticum aestivum (bread wheat)
Lineage: Eukaryota; Viridiplantae; Streptophyta; Magnoliopsida; Poales; Poaceae
Source: Rfam
AUUCUACUCCCUCCGUUGCACAAUACAUGCCUUCUAUUUGUCAAAAUAUAUAUGUAUCUAGACAUGUUUUAGUAUAUAGGUACAUCCAUUUUUGGACAAAUGGAAGUCAAGUAUUUUGGAACGAAGGGAGUACACA